CCCUCUCUCUGGCGAUUAGGGUUGCCCCCACGCCGCCGCCAGGGGCUGACCACCGGCCUGGUUCCUCGUCCCGGCCGGUGCGCCGCCGAAUGCCUCCACCCCCAUCCUCCUACGUCCCCCAUCCGCCCUAAGAAGCUCUCCACUCCGCCGCCAGGAGCACUUCUGCUGCCCCUGCCGCUGCAAAUCAGGGGAGAUGACCACCCGCUAGCCACCACAGUCGGUCGCCUCCAUCCCCCCAUCCGUCGGACGAGCUUCUCCACCCAUCUGAGCUGCCCCACCGCAAACUAGCUCGCUGAAGCAAAUAGCAAAGGAAGAGUGGCGCCACCGGUGACUCUAGACCUCCCCAUCCCCGACAGCAACCAAAUAUUUGAGUGGAGUGGAGGGAGGAGAUAAGGGGAGGUAGAUAGGCGAUGAGUCCAGUUGAGAUUCCCCACUGGUAACAUCCAACUUCUCUUUUGCAAAAAAAACAUCCAACUUCUCUCUCCAUAACUUUGUGAAUGUUAUGUUGUAUGUCAAUUUGUUUUUGGGUGGCUGC
Long non-coding RNA from Triticum aestivum (bread wheat), 535 nucleotides. RefSeq lists it as uncharacterized. NCBI's taxonomy places the organism in Eukaryota, Viridiplantae, Streptophyta, Magnoliopsida, Poales, Poaceae. The transcript has 3 exons. The record is from RefSeq and is a predicted model, not a curated record.